UUCAAUACUGAAGAUGACUAUUUUAAUUUCUGAUGUAUUCUCAUUUCAUAUCCCUUCAUUGUAACUGUAACUGGCUUCAGAAAAAACGGAGUGAUGAAUAAGUUGACAACACAUUGGUGUACAAAAAAUGCAUCAACGACUGCAGCUUAUACUGUUCUUUUCUCAUCUUGGAAUGUGUGGACUGAAUAUUUCCUGUUGCACUUUGUUUUCAUAAGUCAAAGACACAUGAUACUCUAAAUGUCAAAUAUCUUCUAAUCAUUACAUCUACUCAUUACAAUAGCACAUUUCC
This is a non-coding RNA of Biomphalaria pfeifferi, 289 nucleotides long. The record is from the annotation of a GenBank genome assembly. Lineage: Eukaryota; Metazoa; Mollusca; Gastropoda; Planorbidae.